AGUGAACGCUGGCGGUAGGCCUAACACAUGCAAGUCGAACGGCAGCACAGUAAGAGCUUGCUCUUACGGGUGGCGAGUGGCGGACGGGUGAGGAAUACAUCGGAAUCUACUUUUUCGUGGGGGAUAACGUAGGGAAACUUACGCUAAUACCGCAUACGACCUACGGGUGAAAGCAGGGGAUCUUCGGACCUUGCGCGAUUGGAUGAGCCGAUGUCGGAUUAGCUAGUUGGCGGGGUAAAGGCCCACCAAGGCGACGAUCCGUAGCUGGUCUGAGAGGAUGAUCAGCCACACUGGAACUGAGACACGGCCCAGACUCCUACGGGAGGCAGCAGUGGGGAAUAUUGGACAAUGGGCGCAAGCCUGAUCCAGCCACACCGCGUGGGUGAAGAAGGCCUUCGGGUUGUAAAGCCCUUUUGUUGGGAAAGAAAAGCAGCAGGUUAAUACCCCGCUGUUCUGACGGUACCCAAAGAAUAAGCACCGGCUAACUUCGUG
This 492-nucleotide ribosomal RNA is filed under the name uncultured bacterium. Its description in RNAcentral is "partial 16S ribosomal RNA". It matches the Rfam family "Bacterial small subunit ribosomal RNA", at positions 29 to 507 of the family's 1533-position model. The record is from RNAcentral.